GGACGAACGCUGGCGGCGUGCUUAACACAUGCAAGUCGAACGGUGAAGGGGUCUGCUUUUGUGGGCCCUGGAUGAGUGGCGAACGGGUGAGUAACACGUGAGUAACCUGCCCCCUUCUUCUGGAUAACCGCAUGAAAGUGUGGCUAAUACGGGAUAUUCUGGGUCUGUCGCAUGAUGGGUCUGGGAAAGAUUGCGCCUUUGGGUGUUUUUGGUGGGGGAUGGGCUCGCGGCCUAUCAGCUUGUUGGUGGGGUGAUGGCCUACCAAGGCGGUGACGGGUAGCCGGCCUGAGAGUGUGGACGGUCACACUGGGACUGAGACACGGCCCAGACUCCUACGGGAGGCAGCAGUGGGGAAUAUUGCACAAUGGGCGCAAGCCUGAUGCAGCGACGCCGCGUGAGGGAUGGAGGCCUUCGGGUUGUAAACCUCUUUCGCCAGUGAAGCAGGCCUGCUCCUUGUGGGUGGGUUGACGGUAGCUGGAUAAGAAGCGCCGGCUAACUACGUG
This 503-nucleotide ribosomal RNA is filed under the name uncultured bacterium. Its description in RNAcentral is "partial 16S ribosomal RNA". It matches the Rfam family "Bacterial small subunit ribosomal RNA", at positions 27 to 507 of the family's 1533-position model. The record is from RNAcentral.